This 427-nucleotide ribosomal RNA is filed under the name uncultured beta proteobacterium. Its description in RNAcentral is "bacterial SSU rRNA". It matches the Rfam family "Bacterial small subunit ribosomal RNA", at positions 355 to 774 of the family's 1533-position model. Lineage: Bacteria; Pseudomonadati; Pseudomonadota; Betaproteobacteria. The record is from RNAcentral.
UGGGGCAUUUUGGACAAUGGGCGAAAGCCUGAUCCAGCCAUGCCGCGUGAGUGAAGAAGGCCUUCGGGUUGUAAAGCUCUUUUAGUCGGAAAGAAAGAGUUGCAAUGAAUAAUUGUGAUUUAUGACGGUACCGACAGAAAAAGCACCGGCUAACUACGUGCCAGCAGCCGCGGUAAUACGUAGGGUGCGAGCGUUAAUCGGAAUUACUGGGCGUAAAGGGUGCGCAGGCGGUCUUGCAAGUCAGAUGUGAAAGCCCCGGGCUUAACCUGGGAAUUGCGUUUGAAACUACAAGACUAGAGUGCAGCAGAGGGGAGUGGAAUUCCAUGUGUAGCAGUGAAAUGCGUAGAGAUGUGGAAGAACACCGAUGGCGAAGGCAGCUCCCUGGGUUGACACUGACGCUCAUGCACGAAAGCGUGGGGAGCAAACA